GUCAUUUCGUCGAGAAGGCACAAGAAUCGUUGGCGGGAGCUUAUGGUGCUUUGGAUCCGUUAGCUCUUCCCAAACCUUUUCAAGCUCUAUUGUAAUCUUAUUUUUAUUUCAUUUUGUCUUGGUUGCUCUUCUUUGGUUUUCUCUUUGUAUUACCUAAACUCAUUUUAUAUGAUAUUUACAAGUUUAGCAAAA
Molecule: small RNA, 192 nt
Filed under: Arabidopsis thaliana (thale cress)
Lineage: Eukaryota; Viridiplantae; Streptophyta; Magnoliopsida; Brassicales; Brassicaceae
Description: ATSL048390
Source: RNAcentral